UAGAACGAAGCUCGCUGGAUAGAGUUUUUAGCUGUUAAUUAAAUUGUCGCGGGGUCGAGGCCCGCCGUUCUAG
This 73-nucleotide transfer RNA is filed under the name Craugastor noblei (Noble's robber frog). Its description in RNAcentral is "tRNA-Asx". It matches the Rfam family "tRNA". Rfam says of the family: Transfer RNA (tRNA) molecules are approximately 80 nucleotides in length. Their secondary structure includes four short double-helical elements and three loops (D, anti-codon, and T loops). Further hydrogen bonds mediate the characteristic L-shaped molecular structure. tRNAs have two regions of fundamental functional importance: the anti-codon, which is responsible for specific mRNA codon recognition, and the 3' end, to which the tRNAs corresponding amino acid is attached (by aminoacyl-tRNA synthetases). tRNAs cope with the degeneracy of the genetic code in two manners: having more than one tRNA (with a specific anti-codon) for a particular amino acid; and 'wobble' base-pairing, i.e. permitting non-standard base-pairing at the 3rd anti-codon position. Lineage: Eukaryota; Metazoa; Chordata; Amphibia; Anura; Craugastoridae. The record is from RNAcentral.